AGUAAGUUUGAGAAAUUUACUAAAAAAAAUGGUUUUUGGGAUUAAACAUUAUGUAUAUAUUUAUCUGUAACUUACCAACUACAAUAUUAAUUAGUAUUGAUUAAAAAUUAAAAACAAAGUGCUAGAGCUUUUAAUAGAAGAUUCUAUUUUUUGUGAGUAUUACCGCAUGGGUUUCAUUAAAUAAAUUGGAAACGAGCUAUAAAUAUGCUCGAUAAAACUUAUUUGCGAUUUCCAAAUCGCGUACAUUUAUAUAGAGGAGGAGCGCACUCACUCAACGAGGGUUUUAUACAUCGUAUUAUUAUAAUUAUAUUAUAUACGCACAUGCACACACACAUGACAUAUCUUUUAUGCACGCGUAUAUGUAUAUAAUAUUAUGAUGACAACAAUGAUGGCUCCCGUCCAUCCAUUUUUGCAGUACGUUUAUAUUAUUUGUAUUUCUACCCCGCGUUUCAGACUUUCAUUGUUAUGUGAUGUUAUAGACCAACGUCUCAUCGGCGCACCCCUACAUGCGGCCGCAGCGUAAAGUCCGUCAUACGACCAAUGCGUAUUUACUAUGCAUGUAUAAUAGGUAUACUGUAUAUAUAUAAUAUACUUGUUAUAUACAGCACGUGCGAUUUGCAUACAAUGCGAACGGGACUCGUUGCACUGUAUUGCAUAAUAUCCGCUGCAUAACAAAACGCGUGUAUGGAAUGUAUACAGAGCGUUUACUAUGGUUAUAUGUCGUAAUAAUGCACAUUCAAGUAGUAUAAUAAAUACCAAGAUACCAAUACUUAAUAAAUAAGUGGGACACUAUGCUCGAGUACAUCCGUUUUAUUGCUAUAGAAUAAAAAAUAUAGACGUGUGGAUCACGCUGUAUAUAAACGCACGCACACAUGAUAUAUAUGUAUAUAAUAUUAGCCGCCAUUUUUGCGCAUGUUGUACAUGUGACACGUAUUAUUUAUAUAUGGGUUAGGCAUACACGCAUGUGCAUAUACUUAACCCAUAUUAUACAUUAUACAGACAUACAGUGUAUGUGCAAUAUUGCACAGACACUUCGGCUCAGUAUAGUAUCGAGACGGUUACGAGUCUGCAGCAAGCGCGUCGUUGUACAUACAUAUUUUUGAACGCAUUUACUGUUUUACACUGAUGCAACCGUGAAUGAAACACUGCAACGAGUGCAACCGCAUCUUAGGAAUUAUGUAUAUUAUAGACACUUUUAAAACACUGUUUGUGCCAGCGUAUACACGAAUUAUGUAUAUUAUACUGGUGUGUGCAUCAAUUAUCAAAAUGUCUCCCAAGCCGCAAAAGCAUCACUCUGCAGUCCAUCUAUAUUAUAUACAUAUGCAGCAGGUGUAAUAAUGAAUGUUGGUUAAUCAGGUACUCACGUGGGCCAACAGACUGACAGUAAAGUUGUCCAAUUAUGUGUUUCAUCAGUUAAGUUGUAAUUUAUAUAUACAUAUAUAUAUAUAAGUUUUAUAAUCACAUUUUAUAUGUAAACAAUAAUUUUUAAGUAGUAGGUAUUUAUAGAGUUUAGCAUUUAUAUUAUAAUUUAGUAAAAAUCAUGGAAAUUAUUUCUUAUCACAAUAAUGUCUGUAUAAUUUGCUUUUUAAAGCUUAAAUUAUAAUUUGACCAUUAAAGUUUGAAUGUGUAUAUUUAAAUUUUAAAUUUAUUCAAAUAUUAUUAUGUCAUAGUUUGUUGUUAAUUAAAAAUAAAAAUCUCCUAAUGGAGAUUGGUAGAUA
This is a long non-coding RNA of Aphis gossypii (cotton aphid), 1718 nucleotides long. RefSeq lists it as uncharacterized. The transcript has 2 exons. The record is from RefSeq and is a predicted model, not a curated record. Lineage: Eukaryota; Metazoa; Arthropoda; Insecta; Hemiptera; Aphididae.